AAACCUGCUCGGAGGCCUAACACAUGCAAGUCGAGCGGAUGACGGGAGCUUGCUCCUUGAUUCAACGGCGGACGGGUGAGUAAUGCCUAUGAAUCUGACUGGUAGAUGGGGACAACUUUUCGAAGGGAACGCUAAUACCGCAUACGUCCUACCGGAAAAAGCAAGGGAGCUUCCGUCCUUGCUCUAUCAAAUGAACCUACGCUCGGAUUAACUAGUUGGUGGGGUAAUGGCUCACCCAGGCGAGGAUCCGUAACUGGUCUGACAGGAUGAUCAGUCACACUGGAACUGACACACAGUCCAGACUCAUACCGGAGGCAGGAGUGGGGAAUAUAUGUCAAUGGGCGAAAGCCUGAUCCAUGCAUGCCCUGGUGUGUGAAUAAGGUCUGCCGGAUUGUUAAUCACUUUAAGUUGGGAGGAAGGGCAGUGAGCUAGUACCUUGCUGUUUUGACGGUAUCGACAGAAUAAGCACCGGCUAACUCUGUGCCGGCAGCCGCGGUAAUACAGAGGGUGCGAGCGUGCAUCGGAAUUACUGGGGGUCAAUCGCGCGUAAGUGGUUUGUUUACUUGGAUGUUAAAACACCGCGGUCAUCUGGGGAAUGCUUCCUUAAAUGGGGAGCUUGAAUUACGCUAGAAGGUGGGGGGGAAUACCUGCGGUAGCGGCGGAAUGCCUUCGUUUUAAGGAAGGAGAACCUACGGGGGAAGGAAACCACCCUCCACUUC
Molecule: ribosomal RNA, 719 nt
Filed under: uncultured Pseudomonas sp.
Lineage: Bacteria; Pseudomonadati; Pseudomonadota; Gammaproteobacteria; Pseudomonadales; Pseudomonadaceae
Description: bacterial SSU rRNA
Rfam family: Bacterial small subunit ribosomal RNA
Source: RNAcentral